This 431-nucleotide ribosomal RNA is filed under the name uncultured bacterium. Its description in RNAcentral is "bacterial SSU rRNA". It matches the Rfam family "Bacterial small subunit ribosomal RNA", at positions 74 to 504 of the family's 1533-position model. The record is from RNAcentral.
GGGUGAAGUUGUCGCUGACGAGUGGCGGACGGGUGAGUAAUGCAUAGGAAUCUACCCAGUAGUGGGGGAUAACGUGGAGAAAUCCACGCUAAUACCGCAUAUGUCCUACGGGACAAAGCAGGGGACCUUCGGGCCUUGCGCUAUUGGAUGAGCCUAUGUCGGAUUAGCUAGUUGGUAGGGUAAAAGCCUACCAAGGCAACGAUCCGUAGCUGGUCUGAGAGGAUGAUCAGCCACACUGGGACUGAGACACGGCCCAGACUCCUACGGGAGGCAGCAGUGGGGAAUAUUGCACAAUGGGCGCAAGCCUGAUGCAGCAGUGCCGCGUGUGUGAAGAAGGCCUGCGGGUUGUAAAGCACUUUUAUUAGGAAAGAAAAACCCGGAGUUAAUAUCUUCGGACUUGACGUACCUAAAGAAUAAGCACCGCUAACUAA